UAGGGAAUCUUCCACAAUGGACGAAAGUCUGAUGGAGCAACGCCGCGUGAGUGAAGAAGGGGUUUCGGCUCGUAAAGCUCUGUUGGUAGUGAAGAAAGAUAGAGGUAGUAACUGGCCUUUAUUUGACGGUAAUUACUUAGAAAGUCACGGCUAACUACGUGCC
RNAcentral lists this ribosomal RNA (163 nucleotides) under uncultured bacterium. RNAcentral describes it as "partial 16S ribosomal RNA". It matches the Rfam family "Bacterial small subunit ribosomal RNA", at positions 355 to 509 of the family's 1533-position model. The record is from RNAcentral.